This 762-nucleotide ribosomal RNA is filed under the name Neoerysiphe joerstadii. RNAcentral's name for it is "partial 28S rRNA". It matches the Rfam family "Eukaryotic large subunit ribosomal RNA", at positions 1 to 779 of the family's 3401-position model. Lineage: Eukaryota; Fungi; Ascomycota; Leotiomycetes; Helotiales; Erysiphaceae. The record is from RNAcentral.
UUGACCUCGAAUCAGGUAGGGAUACCCGCUGAACUUAAGCAUAUCAAUAAGCGGANNNNNNNNNNNNNNNNNNNNNNNNNNNAGUAACGGCGAGUGAAGCGGUAACAGCUCAAAUUUGAAAUCUGGCUCCUUCGGAGUCCGAGUUGUAAUUUGUAGAAGAUGCUUUGGGUUGCAGGUUCGGUCUAAGUUCCUUGGAACAGGACGUCGUAGAGGGUGAGAAUCCCGUAUGCGGCCGUGACUUGUGCCCGUGUAAAGCUCUUUCGACGAGUCGAGUUGUUUGGGAAUGCAGCUCAAAAUGGGUGGUAAAUUUCAUCUAAAGCUAAAUAUAGGCCAGAGACCGAUAGCGCACAAGUAGAGUGAUCGAAAGAUGAAAAGCACUUUGGAAAGAGAGUUAAACAGUACGUGAAAUUGUUGAAAGGGAAGCGCUUGCAACCAGACUUGGGCGUCGUGGAUCAUCCAAGGUUCUCCUUGGUGCACUCGACGACGCACAGGCCAGCAUCGGUUCGGAUGGCUGGAAAAAGGUCCUAGAAAUGUAGCUCCUCGCGGGGAGUGUUAUAGUCUAGGGCGCAAUGCAGCCCAACCGGACCGAGGACCGCGCUUCGGCUAGGAUGCUGGCGUAAUGGUUGUAAGCGACCCGUCUUGAAACACGGACCAAGGAGUCUAACAUCUAUGCGAGUGUUUGGGCGUUAAACCCAUACGCGGAAUGAAAGUGAACGUAGGUGAGAACCCGUAAGGGGGCAUCAUCGACCGAUCCUGAAGUCU